UUAUUGGGCGUAAGAGCUCGUAGGCGGUUUGUCGCGUCUGCCGUGAAAGUCCGGGGCUCAACUCCGGAUCUGCGGUGGGUACGGGCAGACUAGAGUGAUGUAGGGGAGACUGGAAUUCCUGGUGUAGCGGUGAAAUGCGCAGAUAUCAGGAGGAACACCGAUGGCGAAGGCAGGUCUCUGGGCAUUAACUGACGCUGAGGAGCGAAAGCAUGGGGAGCGAACAGGAUUAGAUACCCUGGUAGUCCAUGCCGUAAACGUUGGGCACUAGGUGUGGGGGACAUUCCACGUUUUCCGCGCCGUAGCUAACGCAUUAAGUGCCCCGCCUGGGGAGUACGGCCGCAAGGCUAAAACUCAAAGGAAUUGACGGGGGCCCGCACAAGCGGCGGAGCAUGCGGAUUAAUUCGAUGCAACGCGAAGAACCUUACCAAGGCUUGACAUGAACCGGUAAUACCUGGAGACAGGUGCCCCGCUUGCGGUCGGUUUACAGGUGGUGCAUGGUUGUCGUCAGCUCGUGUCGUGAGAUGUUGGGUUAAGUCCCGCAACGAGCGCAACCCUCGUUCUAUGUUGCCAGCACGUGAUGGUGGGGACUCAUAGGAGACUGCCGGGGUCAACUCGGAGGAAGGUGGGGACGACGUCAAAUCAUCAUGCCCCUUAUGUCUUGGGCUUCACGCAUGCUACAAUGGCCGGUACAAAGGGUUGCGAUACUGUGAGGUGGAGCUAAUCCCAAAAAGCCGGUCUCAGUUCGGAUUGGGGUCUGCAACUCGACCCCAUGAAGUCGGAGUCGCUAGUAAUCGCAGAUCAGCAACGCUGCGGUGAAUACGUUCCCGGGGCUUGUACACACCGCCCGUCAAGUCACGAAAGUUGGUAACACCCGAAGCCGGUGGCCUAACCCCUUGUGGGAGGGAGCUGUCGAAGUGGGACUGGCGAUUGGGAC
This 934-nucleotide ribosomal RNA is filed under the name Arthrobacter sp. RNAcentral describes it as "bacterial SSU rRNA". It matches the Rfam family "Bacterial small subunit ribosomal RNA", at positions 551 to 1481 of the family's 1533-position model. The record is from RNAcentral. Lineage: Bacteria; Bacillati; Actinomycetota; Actinomycetes; Micrococcales; Micrococcaceae.